UCCAAACCCUGCCUGAGAGGCGGCGGUGGAGAGCGAGCUACUCCCUUUCGCUUCCGGUGCUGAUUUGAAUGCCUCGCCACGGCGACUGGCCGCUCUCUCACAGUAUUGCUUUUUGCCGCUCCCGGGGCACUACAAGACACUCUCGCGGCGCCGUCACACUUGGCAAAGACGCGCGCUAUUCUCUCCACGUGUCAGCGACGCACUUUGUGUUUGUCGGAGGGGUGUGUCCACGGGUGUCUUGACGCCAGUCUCUGAGGGAAGUCGACGGCAGCUGCAUGGACGGCGCAAUCUCAGCUGAUCUCCGGAAGAGUUCCAUCGUCUUACCUGCAAGGGGACAGUCGUCGUUGGACCCGGCCGAGUCCUGGUCCUGGUUGGGGCUGAAGGGGGGGCUGGCCGGGGGGCUGGUGCUGAAGCUGGCAUACCCCAGGGACGAGCUCACCUCGCUGGGCUCGCAGCUGUGAUUGACGGUCCGCUGGACGUCCAGCGAUGAGGACAGGGAGGUGCGCUGUUUGGGCUGGAGGGGAUCAUUGAUGAUUACUCAUUUAUUACACAAAUACAUGUUCACUUGCUCAGUUAUAA
This is a long non-coding RNA of Nerophis ophidion (straightnose pipefish), 579 nucleotides long. RefSeq lists it as uncharacterized. The transcript is spliced from 3 exons. NCBI's taxonomy places the organism in Eukaryota, Metazoa, Chordata, Actinopteri, Syngnathiformes, Syngnathidae. The record is from RefSeq and is a predicted model, not a curated record.